AGCGAACGCUGGCGGCAGGCUUAACGCAUGCAAGUCGAACGCCCCGCAAGGGGAGUGGCAGACGGGUGAGUAACACGUGGGAACGUACCCUUUGGUUCGGAAUAACUUGGGGAAACUCAAGCUAAUACCGGAUAAGCCCUUAUGGGGAAAGGUUUACUGCCGAAGGAUCGGCCCGCGUCUGAUUAGCUAGUUGGUGAGGUAAUGGCUCACCAAGGCGACGAUCAGUAGCUGGUCUGAGAGGAUGAUCAGCCACACUGGGACUGAGACACGGCCCAGACUCCUACGGGAGGCAGCAGUGGGGAAUAUUGGACAAUGGGGGCAACCCUGAUCCAGCCAUGCCGCGUGAGUGAUGAAGGCCUUAGGGUUGUAAAGCUCUUUUACCCGGGACGAUAAUGACUGUACCGGGAGAAUAAGCCCCGGCCAACUUCGUGCCAGCCGCCGCAGUAA
Molecule: ribosomal RNA, 447 nt
Filed under: uncultured bacterium
Lineage: Bacteria
Description: partial 16S ribosomal RNA
Rfam family: Bacterial small subunit ribosomal RNA
Source: RNAcentral